This 440-nucleotide ribosomal RNA is filed under the name uncultured bacterium. RNAcentral's name for it is "partial 16S ribosomal RNA". It matches the Rfam family "Bacterial small subunit ribosomal RNA", at positions 338 to 795 of the family's 1533-position model. The record is from RNAcentral.
CCUACGGGAGGCAGCAGUAAGGGAUAUUGGUCAAUGGGGGAAACCCUGAACCAGCAACGCCGCGUGAGGGAAGACGGUUUUCGGAUUGUUAACCUCUGUCCUCUGUGAAGCUGAUGACGGUAGCAGUGGAGGAAGCUCCGGCUAACUACGUACCAGCAGCCGCGGUAAUACGUAGGGAGCGGGCGUUUUCCGGAUUUACUGGGUGUACAGGGGGCGUAGGCGGCUUGGCAAGUCAGGAGUGAAAUCCAUGGGCUUAAACCAUGAAGUGCUAUUGAAACUGGCGCGCUUGAGUGAAGUAGAGGUAGGCGGAAUGCGCGGUGUAGCGGUGAAAUGCGUAGAGAGCGCGAAGAACACCAGUGGCGAAGGCAGCCUACUGGGCUUUAACUGACGCUGAGGCACGAAAGCGUGGGUAGCAAACAGGAUUAGAUACCCCUGUAGUC